GUAGGGAAUAUUGGGCAAUGGAGGCAACUCUGACCCAGCCAUGCCGCGUGCAGGAUGACGGCCCUCUGGGUUGUAAACUGCUUUUAUACGGGAAGAAAAAAUACUACGUGUAGUAUACUGACGGUACCGUAAGAAUAAGGAUCGGCUAACUCCGUACCAGCAGCCGCGGUAAUACGGAGGAUCCAAGCGUUGUCCGGAUUUAUUGGGUUUAAAGGGUGCGUAGGCGGAUCUUUAAGUCAGUGGUGAAAGCCUGCAGCUUAACUGUAGAAUUGCCAUUGAAACUGAAGAUCUUGAAUGUGGUUAAAGUAGGCGGAAUGUAUCAUGUAGCGGUGAAAUGCUUAGAUAUGAUACAGAACACCGAUAGCGAAGGCAGCUUGCUGAACCAUUAUUGACGCUGAGGCACGAAAGCGUGGGGAGCGAACAGGAUUAGAUACCCGGGUAGUCC
Molecule: ribosomal RNA, 445 nt
Filed under: uncultured bacterium
Lineage: Bacteria
Description: partial 16S ribosomal RNA
Rfam family: Bacterial small subunit ribosomal RNA
Source: RNAcentral